Molecule: long non-coding RNA, 415 nt
Organism: Carassius carassius (crucian carp)
Lineage: Eukaryota; Metazoa; Chordata; Actinopteri; Cypriniformes; Cyprinidae
Exons: 3
Source: RefSeq, a predicted model, not a curated record
CUUGCUCUACAAAUUACUACAAAACACAUCCCAAUGCUGCAACAACUGCGUGUGGGCCUUGAGAUAUACGAUCUAAUCAAAGUCAUGCAGAAAAAGCCACAGGAGUGUCAUGAUCUCUGUCAUAGGAUAUGAUGACAAAGUUGACUCCCAUUACAUUUUAUCCCACCUGGCCCCAGAGAUGAGCCCAAUUGGUUCGAUUAAACAAGUGAAAGAGUCAAAAAUCAUGGAAUUCUUUCAAGAUUUCCUACUUGAACUUGAAGACACAAAACCAGAAGACGCAGCAGCAGGAGAAAACUUGUCUGUGCCAAAGAUAAUGCAGUGGAUGACUGGGCAAGCUCACAGGCAUCUGCUUGUGUCAGAAAGGGAGAAGUUUAAUAUAGUGUUUAAAUUUGACCAUUGCUGUCUACAGCACAUG